CCCAUAGCUCAGUUGGUUAGAGCAGCGGACUCAUAAUCCGCCGGUCCAAGGUUCGAGUCCUUGUGGGC
This 68-nucleotide transfer RNA is filed under the name marine eukaryotic metagenome. It matches the Rfam family "tRNA". Rfam says of the family: Transfer RNA (tRNA) molecules are approximately 80 nucleotides in length. Their secondary structure includes four short double-helical elements and three loops (D, anti-codon, and T loops). The record is from RNAcentral.